Molecule: long non-coding RNA, 383 nt
Filed under: Lathyrus oleraceus (garden pea)
Lineage: Eukaryota; Viridiplantae; Streptophyta; Magnoliopsida; Fabales; Fabaceae
Description: Pisum sativum (pea) long non-coding RNA (PSAT_LNC015970)
Source: RNAcentral
AACAUCAUGUAGUAAAGGGCAGUUGAUAGAGUAUACUUGAGUUGUUUGAUUCUUCCCUCUCGACAGUUAACGUUUAAAGGAAGGAAUCCCAAGUGUUUGGAGGUUUAUCAUAUGGUAUCAGAACUGAUCAUCAGCGUCUCAAAAAAGGCCACAUACAGAGGAACUAACUUGAAAAAUGUGAAGCAUUGUAGAGUGCAGCCCCGAAACGUCGCUCUCAAAGCUAGUGCCGAAGUCCAAGUGGUGAAACAUCGCUCUCAAAGGUAGUGUCUAAAUCCAAGUGGUGUCUAAAUCCCACAUCAAGUAGUCUAUGAUGUUCGUUGGAGAGUGCCUGGCGCAUAUUUGGAUUACCAGUGAGAUUGGCAAAAUCAUGAUGAGCCAUUACC